GGACGGUUAGUUCAGUGGUAGAACGCUCGCUUCACAUGCGAGAGGUCGCAGGUUCAAGUCCUGCACCGUCCA
This 72-nucleotide transfer RNA is filed under the name Ignavibacteriota bacterium. RNAcentral describes it as "Ignavibacteriae bacterium (groundwater metagenome) tRNA-Val". It matches the Rfam family "tRNA". From Rfam's summary of the family: Transfer RNA (tRNA) molecules are approximately 80 nucleotides in length. Their secondary structure includes four short double-helical elements and three loops (D, anti-codon, and T loops). Lineage: Bacteria; Pseudomonadati; Ignavibacteriota. The record is from RNAcentral.